AGUCGUAACAAGGUCUCCGUAGGUGAACCUGCGGAGGGAUCAUUACAGAGUUCAUGCCCUAACGGGUAGAUCUCCCACCCUGUGUUAUUAUUACCUUUGUUGCUUUGGCGGGCCGCCCGGCCUCGGCCAGGCUACCGGCUCCGGCUGGUAAGCGCCCGCCAGAGGACCCCAAACCCUGAAUGUUAGUGUCGUCUGAGUACUAUAUAAUAGUUAAAACUUUCAACAACGGAUCUCUUGGUUCUGGCAUCGAUGAAGAACGCAGCGAAAUGCGAUAAGUAAUGUGAAUUGCAGAAUUCAGUGAAUCAUCGAAUCUUUGAACGCACAUUGCGCCCCUUGGUAUUCCGAGGGGCAUGCCUGUUCGAGCGUCAUUACAACCCUCAAGCAAUGCUUGGUGUUGGGCCCCGCCGCUCACCCGGCGGGCUCUAAAAUCAGUGGCGGUGCCGUCGGGCUCUGAGCGUAGUAAUUCUUCUCGCUACAGGGUCCCGGUGGAUGCUGGCCAACAACCCCCAAUUUUCUAUGGUUGACCUCGGAUCAGGUAGGGAUACCCGCUGAACUUAAGCAUAUCAAUAAGCGGAGGA
Molecule: unclassified non-coding RNA, 578 nt
Filed under: Leptodontidium elatius var. elatius
Lineage: Eukaryota; Fungi; Ascomycota; Leotiomycetes; Helotiales; Leptodontidiaceae
Description: sequence contains 18S rRNA gene, ITS1, 5.8S rRNA gene, ITS2, 28S rRNA gene
Rfam family: 5.8S ribosomal RNA (bases 215-368)
Source: RNAcentral